UUGUCGACGGCGCCGGCGGAGAUGGCCGCUCGGGGCCGCCCCACCCCUCUGUGCCCUCUCGUGGCGGCAGCGGCGGCGCUGUGGCUGCUGGUUACGCCAGGUCAUUGCCUGCGAUGCAUCCAAUGCGUGCCCACCUACACCGGGACCGGCUACAACGAAUUGAACUGGUCUCUCUGCGAGCGGUACCAGCCCGGCCUGCCGGGCUUCACAACCGAGUGCAACGACACCUGUAUCGAGGAGCUCAUCUACAGUCCUCCGGAUGGCGAAGCAACGCCCAAAGCCAGCGGCUUGCUGCGCACCUGUGGCGACCUGGUGGAGGUGAACGGGGACCGCUGCCAGCCGCUGGAUGACGGCAAACACCUGUGCUCGUGCACCUCGGACUUGUGCAACGUCGGGCUGCUGCCGACGCAGUCAGCGCCGGCAGCAGCAGCAGUCGGCGGCGGUCCCAGCUGGUGGUGGCUGAUGGCCGUGCCGGGGUCACUCGCCGCCGUGAUGGUGCUGGUGCUGGCGGUGAAGGUGCGCCGAAGGCGGCGCGCCAACGGACGGUACGAGACGACCGCCGACGGUCUGGGCCGGCCACGGACGGUGUGAGGUGAAGGUGCGCCCAAGGCGGCGCGCCAACGGGCGGUCCGAGACGACCGCCGACGGUCUGGGCCGGCCACGGACGGUGUGAGGCAUCGCGAGUCUACCGGCACGUGCAAGACUGUGUGAGGGGAUGUAGAGGAGGGGUGCGGGGACGCAGGGCUGUGGUGUGUUACAUGAUACAAGGCCGUGACCUGGAGGGGGAUGAAGCGCAAAU
RNA transcript from Pollicipes pollicipes, 799 nucleotides. RefSeq lists it as uncharacterized. NCBI's taxonomy places the organism in Eukaryota, Metazoa, Arthropoda, Thecostraca, Pollicipedomorpha, Pollicipedidae. The transcript has 4 exons. The record is from RefSeq and is a predicted model, not a curated record.